Molecule: ribosomal RNA, 2321 nt
Filed under: Escherichia coli
Lineage: Bacteria; Pseudomonadati; Pseudomonadota; Gammaproteobacteria; Enterobacterales; Enterobacteriaceae
Description: partial 23S ribosomal RNA
Rfam family: Bacterial large subunit ribosomal RNA
Source: RNAcentral
AAUGGGUCAGCGACUUAUAUUCUGUAGCAAGGUUAACCGAAUAGGGGAGCCGAAGGGAAACCGAGUCUUAACUGGGCGUUAAGUUGCAGGGUAUAGACCCGAAACCCGGUGAUCUAGCCAUGGGCAGGUUGAAGGUUGGGUAACACUAACUGGAGGACCGAACCGACUAAUGUUGAAAAAUUAGCGGAUGACUUGUGGCUGGGGGUGAAAGGCCAAUCAAACCGGGAGAUAGCUGGUUCUCCCCGAAAGCUAUUUAGGUAGCGCCUCGUGAAUUCAUCUCCGGGGGUAGAGCACUGUUUCGGCAAGGGGGUCAUCCCGACUUACCAACCCGAUGCAAACUGCGAAUACCGGAGAAUGUUAUCACGGGAGACACACGGCGGGUGCUAACGUCCGUCGUGAAGAGGGAAACAACCCAGACCGCCAGCUAAGGUCCCAAAGUCAUGGUUAAGUGGGAAACGAUGUGGGAAGGCCCAGACAGCCAGGAUGUUGGCUUAGAAGCAGCCAUCAUUUAAAGAAAGCGUAAUAGCUCACUGGUCGAGUCGGCCUGCGCGGAAGAUGUAACGGGGCUAAACCAUGCACCGAAGCUGCGGCAGCGACACUAUGUGUUGUUGGGUAGGGGAGCGUUCUGUAAGCCUGUGAAGGUGUACUGUGAGGUAUGCUGGAGGUAUCAGAAGUGCGAAUGCUGACAUAAGUAACGAUAAAGCGGGUGAAAAGCCCGCUCGCCGGAAGACCAAGGGUUCCUGUCCAACGUUAAUCGGGGCAGGGUGAGUCGACCCCUAAGGCGAGGCCGAAAGGCGUAGUCGAUGGGAAACAGGUUAAUAUUCCUGUACUUGGUGUUACUGCGAAGGGGGGACGGAGAAGGCUAUGUUGGCCGGGCGACGGUUGUCCCGGUUUAAGCGUGUAGGCUGGUUUUCCAGGCAAAUCCGGAAAAUCAAGGCUGAGGCGUGAUGACGAGGCACUACGGUGCUGAAGCAACAAAUGCCCUGCUUCCAGGAAAAGCCUCUAAGCAUCAGGUAACAUCAAAUCGUACCCCAAACCGACACAGGUGGUCAGGUAGAGAAUACCAAGGCGCUUGAGAGAACUCGGGUGAAGGAACUAGGCAAAAUGGUGCCGUAACUUCGGGAGAAGGCACGCUGAUAUGUAGGUGAAGCGACUUGCUCGUGGAGCUGAAAUCAGUCGAAGAUACCAGCUGGCUGCAACUGUUUAUUAAAAACACAGCACUGUGCAAACACGAAAGUGGACGUAUACGGUGUGACGCCUGCCCGGUGCCGGAAGGUUAAUUGAUGGGGUCAGCGCAAGCGAAGCUCUUGAUCGAAGCCCCGGUAAACGGCGGCCGUAACUAUAACGGUCCUAAGGUAGCGAAAUUCCUUGUCGGGUAAGUUCCGACCUGCACGAAUGGCGUAAUGAUGGCCAGGCUGUCUCCACCCGAGACUCAGUGAAAUUGAACUCGCUGUGAAGAUGCAGUGUACCCGCGGCAAGACGGAAAGACCCCGUGAACCUUUACUAUAGCUUGACACUGAACAUUGAGCCUUGAUGUGUAGGAUAGGUGGGAGGCUUUGAAGUGUGGACGCCAGUCUGCAUGGAGCCGACCUUGAAAUACCACCCUUUAAUGUUUGAUGUUCUAACGUUGACCCGUGAUCCGGGUUGCGGACAGUGUCUGGUGGGUAGUUUGACUGGGGCGGUCUCCUCCUAAAGAGUAACGGAGGAGCACGAAGGUUGGCUAAUCCUGGUCGGACAUCAGGAGGUUAGUGCAAUGGCAUAAGCCAGCUUGACUGCGAGCGUGACGGCGCGAGCAGGUGCGAAAGCAGGUCAUAGUGAUCCGGUGGUUCUGAAUGGAAGGGCCAUCGCUCAACGGAUAAAAGGUACUCCGGGGAUAACAGGCUGAUACCGCCCAAGAGUUCAUAUCGACGGCGGUGUUUGGCACCUCGAUGUCGGCUCAUCACAUCCUGGGGCUGAAGUAGGUCCCAAGGGUAUGGCUGUUCGCCAUUUAAAGUGGUACGCGAGCUGGGUUUAGAACGUCGUGAGACAGUUCGGUCCCUAUCUGCCGUGGGCGCUGGAGAACUGAGGGGGGCUGCUCCUAGUACGAGAGGACCGGAGUGGACGCAUCACUGGUGUUCGGGUUGUCAUGCCAAUGGCACUGCCCGGUAGCUAAAUGCGGAAGAGAUAAGUGCUGAAAGCAUCUAAGCACGAAACUUGCCCCGAGAUGAGUUCUCCCUGACUCCUUGAGAGUCCUGAAGGAACGUUGAAGACGACGACGUUGAUAGGCCGGGUGUGUAAGCGCAGCGAUGCGUUGAGCUAACCGGUACUAAUGAACCGUGAGG